RNAcentral lists this non-coding RNA (29 nucleotides) under Rattus norvegicus (Norway rat). Lineage: Eukaryota; Metazoa; Chordata; Mammalia; Rodentia; Muridae. The record is from RNAcentral.
UAUAUAAUCUCUAAUGUGUGAAAGCAAAU